This 591-nucleotide long non-coding RNA is filed under the name Homo sapiens (human). RNAcentral describes it as "HSALNT0019799". Lineage: Eukaryota; Metazoa; Chordata; Mammalia; Primates; Hominidae. The record is from RNAcentral.
GAACUUCCUUCGGAGAGAGCCUAACCUUUCUACCAGGUCCCAUGCUCCGGACAGGACACAGUGAGCUCAAGAAACCACCAAACACAGAGCAAAAACAAGGAUUUGAGGCACAGUUCCACACUUUCUAGCUAUGAGAGCUUGGCCAAGCUACUUAAUUCUCCAGCCUUAUAUUUUCUCGGCUAAAAAUAUAUGGGGCAAGUCUUGUGAAGAUGCAAUGAGAUAAUGGAUGGGAAAGCCCUUUGUGAAGUGUAAAGCAACACACAAAUGCAGAAAUAACAACUAACAGAAGGCUCCCAACUGGAGGAUCAUGUGGAAAAAUGGAAGAACUGAGACUAUCUUCUGGCCAUGAACAGAAGGAGAAAAGGAUGCUGAGGACACACUUCAAAAUCUGCAUAUCCUCUGUUCCUCUGCUUCUCUAAAAAUUGCAGGAAUAGGUGAAAUUGAGCCUGUCUGUUUUCUGUAAUUAGUACUUCAUUUUUGUUUUGUAUUCUGUGCUGUUCACAUUAUCCUGUCUUCCUUUGUGUCUAACACGGCAUCUCCUAUAAUCUCCCUGCUUUCGCAAAGUAUUAUGAUUGUUUGCUUAUUGUUCUG